This 252-nucleotide ribosomal RNA is filed under the name uncultured bacterium. RNAcentral describes it as "partial 16S ribosomal RNA". It matches the Rfam family "Bacterial small subunit ribosomal RNA", at positions 793 to 1050 of the family's 1533-position model. The record is from RNAcentral.
GUCCACGCCGUAAACGAUGGAUACUAGCUGUCGGGACUUCGGUCUCGGCGGCCAAGCGAAAGUGAUAAGUAUCCCACCUGGGGAGUACGUUCGCAAGAAUGAAACUCAAAGGAAUUGACGGGGGCCCGCACAAGCGGUGGAGCAUGUGGUUUAAUUCGAUGAUACGCGAGGAACCUUACCAGGGCUUAAAUGCAGUCCGACAGCUUUAGAGAUAGAGUUUUCUUCGGACGGAUUGCAAGGUGCUGCAUGGUU